RNAcentral lists this ribosomal RNA (303 nucleotides) under uncultured bacterium. RNAcentral's name for it is "partial 16S ribosomal RNA". It matches the Rfam family "Bacterial small subunit ribosomal RNA", at positions 507 to 807 of the family's 1533-position model. The record is from RNAcentral.
AGCAGUCGCCGCGGGAAUACGUAGGGUGCAAGCGUUAAUCGGAAUUACUGGGCGUAAAGCGUGCGCAGGCGGUUAUAUAAGACAGAUGUGAAAUCACCGGGCUCAACCUGGGAACUGCAUUUGUGACUGUAUAGCUAGAGUACGGCAGAGGGGGAUGGAAUUCCGCGUGUAGCAGUGAAAUGCGUAGAUAUGCGGAGGAACACCGAUGGCGAAGGCAAUCCCCUGGGCCUGUACUGACGCUCAUGCACGAAAGCGUGGGGAGCAAACAGGAUUAGAUACCCCCGUAGUCCCUGUCUCUUAUAC